This 389-nucleotide long non-coding RNA is filed under the name Lathyrus oleraceus (garden pea). Its description in RNAcentral is "Pisum sativum (pea) long non-coding RNA (PSAT_LNC021255)". The record is from RNAcentral. Lineage: Eukaryota; Viridiplantae; Streptophyta; Magnoliopsida; Fabales; Fabaceae.
GUCUAACUUGGUGUUCUCGUGUUGUUUGGGUACAUCCCAUUAGCAUAUCCAGAAGACAGACCCAGUCCAAGUGAAUGCAUGGAAGCAUACACGUUUGUGAAUUGUGGAAGUGGCUGAUGUACGGACGUGUUCAGCAGUAACAUCAAUUGAAGUUUUCCCUCCAUGACCAUUUAUUUUGUUAGCAGCAUAUUUCCAUUGGCAGAAGCUGGAGGAUGAUUUGGCAUAUUAAUUGGAAUUAGUUUUUGGUAGUUUUGGAGUGAGUUCGAUUUGGUCCCAAUGUCCAUUCUGUAAAUUUGUAAGCUUAGCAAAAUCUCAUGAUUUGUAAUGAAUAUAACACUGGAUGUGAAUGAAAAUUGGUGUCCUUGUAGCAAAACAUAGUUGUUCUUUGC